GGUAUGGAUGGUGUGGGUGGUAUGGAUGGUGUGAGUGGUAUGGAUGGUGUGGGUGGUAUGGAUGAUGUGGGUGGAACAACUAACAAUGACAGCAAGGACGGUAACAAUGAUACGAACAAGUAUAAUUUAGAACAAAUUGGUAAUUCGCUAAAAAACGAUAUAAUAACAAAUAACACAAGCGAAAGCAAUGAAAAUAAUUUGUUAAACGAUAAGUUUAAUAUGAACUAUAAAAUUAAAAGCAAAAUUAAAAAAGAAAAUAAUAAAUUAAAUGAUUAUUAUGAACAGUUACUUAGAAAUAAAAAUAAUAAAAACGAAAAGAGUGAGCACGACACAAUGUGUCGAACAGGGGCGAAUAGCGUUGAAAACUUAAUUGAAAAUAAUUUAUAUUACAAUUUACACAUAAAAAAAAACGAAAAAAAAAAAAAGUAUGUUAUGAAUUAUUUGUUCAGCGAUAUGAAAAAUAGCUUACCUGCUGAAGCGAAUUUAACUAUUUUUUGGCUAUUUAUACAGAAUGGUUACAAAAAAAAAAAUAGAAAUAAAAAUACAUUAUAUGAUAAUGAUAAUGAAUGUGGUAAUAUUUGUGAUGAUAAUCAAAUAAAAAAUGGAGAAAAAAAAAAAAGAAAAAAAAAAAAAAAAGAAAGAAAAAAAAAAGCACAUUUUGAUUAUCAGUGCUAUGAAUUAUUAUACACAAUUGAAAAAAGAGAAGACGAUUAUUACGAUAGUAAUAAUGGUAAUAAUAGUAUUAAUAAUGAUAAUAAUAAUAAUAAUAAUAAUAAUAAAAAUUUUACAAAUAGAAAUGAGAUUUUACUUAUGAAUAACGAUUAUUCAAGUGCGUACCAUGCCAAUUACCAUGGUAGUAGUAGUAGUAGUAGUAAUAAUAACAAAAUAUAUAGCAGUUAUAAUAAUGGUAAUAUUUUUAUUCUUCCCAAAUGUUAUCACAUCAACAAAGAGUAUACAAUUUUGUGUAAGUAUAUUCUAGCAAUAAUUAAAGACAUAAUUAAUUACCGAAUCAAUUUUUUUGAUUAUAAUAACAUAUUACAUAUUUUUACUACAAGUAAAGAAAUAAAUAAAAUUUUAGGAAAUAUUUUAUUUUUUCUUUUUAAUGAAUUAGAACAUAAUUUAAGAUUUGAUAAUAUUUAUGCAUCAUUGAUGUUGUUAAUAUUGC
Molecule: long non-coding RNA, 1165 nt
Filed under: Piliocolobus tephrosceles (Ugandan red Colobus)
Lineage: Eukaryota; Metazoa; Chordata; Mammalia; Primates; Cercopithecidae
Description: lncRNA (ENSPTEG00000018529.1)
Source: RNAcentral